This 344-nucleotide unclassified non-coding RNA is filed under the name soil metagenome. RNAcentral describes it as "partial contains 5.8S ribosomal RNA, internal transcribed spacer 2, and large subunit ribosomal RNA". The stretch from base 1 to 120 matches the Rfam family "5.8S ribosomal RNA", at positions 35 to 154 of the family's 154-position model. The record is from RNAcentral.
GAUGAAGAACGUAGCGAAAUGCGAUAAGUAGUGUGAAUUGCAGAAUUCAGUGAAUCAUCGAAUCUUUGAACGCACAUUGCGCCCGCCAGUAUUCUGGCGGGCAUGCCUGUUCGAGCGUCAUUUCAACCCUCAAGCCCCCGGGCUUGGUGUUGGGGAUCGGCGUGCCCUCGCGGCGCGCCGUCCCCUAAAUCUAGUGGCGGUCUCGCUGUAGCUUCCUCUGCGUAGUAGCAACACUCGCACUGGAUCGCAGCGCGGCCACGCCGUUAAACCCCCCACUUCUGAAAGUUUGACCUCGCAUCAGGUAGGAAUACCCGCUGAACUUAAGCAUAUCAAUAAGCGGAGGA